Molecule: long non-coding RNA, 1119 nt
Organism: Bos taurus (domestic cattle)
Lineage: Eukaryota; Metazoa; Chordata; Mammalia; Artiodactyla; Bovidae
Source: Ensembl
CUUGCCUGGAAAAUCCCAUGGAUGGAGGAGCCUGGUAGGCUGCAGUCCAUGGGGUUGCUAAGAGUCAGACACGACUGAGCAACUUCACUUUCACUUUUCACUUUCCUGCAUUGGAGAAGGAAGUGGCAACCCACUCCAGUGUUCUUGCCUGGAGAAUCCCAGGGAUGGCGGAGCCUGGUGGGCUGCCCGUCUAUGGGGUCACACAGAGUUGGACACAACUGAAGCGACUUAGCAGCAGCAGCAAGCUUUCACUUUUGCUUUACAUCUAUCACCACACAAGUACAGGAAGACUGUGAGUUCAUGAGUUACUCAUGAACUCAUGAGUAAAUGAAGAACAAUAGAGAAGAAUAACAUAUCACCCUGUAGAGCAAAUACUUAAAUUUGUUUCUCAGCAAAAUUAUCAGUUCCUACAAAUCUUGAUCUCUCAAGGCCAUUUAGAAAUAUUUUAUGACUAGAGUUCCCACACAUCGGACUUUGCAGUAAAAAGAAAUACUUGUACUUAAUCCUCAUGACAGCUCAAUAUAGAAACCCUGCAGUUAAUUAACUUGUGAGAAGAAGUAUUUUGGUCUUUUUAAUUUAUUUUUAAUUGAAGGAUAAUUUACAAUAUUCUGUUGGUUUCUAUCACAAGUCAACAUGAAUCAGCCAUAGAUACAUGCAUGUCCCCUCCCUCUUGAACCUGCCUCCCACCUCCCACCCUGAGAAGAAAUGUUUAGCACAUACUUUAUUUCCACUACUGUUUCCUGUUCCAGGAAUCUUAAUCUUGCUGGAUUGGUGGUUUGGGGGAACUGAAUUUGCCGGUGUCUCAAGUCUGCUUAAGGUCACUGUCAUCACCACCAGGCUAGGGCAUGAUUGUGAAGUUGAACCCACAGAGCACGGAUGUUAUUGUUUGCACCAGAUGGGAUGUGAAGCUGCCCAUUAAGGUCUAGACUCCAGUUAAGGAAGACCUGAAACUUCUCAGUGAUCUUAACUUUCACAGCUCAUUGAUUUCCAAUCCUGGGCUGAAGAAAUCCAUCUUAAUUCUGUGAUUUUGGAAAGGAGACCCAUGUCUUUUGGAGAGGGAGCUCAAACCUGCACACAAAUCAGAAAAGCAGUGAAAUACUUUGGAAAUGGAAGAGAAAC